This 726-nucleotide ribosomal RNA is filed under the name uncultured eukaryote. Its description in RNAcentral is "SSU rRNA". It matches the Rfam family "Eukaryotic small subunit ribosomal RNA", at positions 1034 to 1774 of the family's 1831-position model. The record is from RNAcentral.
AAACGAUGCCAACCAGCGAUCCGCCUGAGUUCCUUAAAUGACUCGGCGGGCAGCUUCCGGGAAACCAAAGUUUUUCGGUUCCGGGGGAAGUAUGGUUGCAAAGCUGAAACUUAAAGGAAUUGACGGAAGGGCACCACCAGGAGUGGAGCCUGCGGCUUAAUUUGACUCAACACGGGAAAACUUACCCGGCCCGGACACUGGCAGGAUUGACAGAUUGAGAGCUCUUUCUUGAUUCAGUGGGUGGUGGUGCAUGGCCGUUCUUAGUUGGUGGAGCGAUUUGUCUGGUUAAUUCCGAUAACGAACGAGACUCUAGCCUACUAAAUAGGCCACCGGCUUACUGACGUCGGUGGGACUUCUUAGAGGGACAGGCGGCGAUUCAGCCGCACGAAACAGAGCAAUAACAGGUCUGUGAUGCCCUUAGAUGUCCGGGGCCGCACGCGCGCUACACUGAAGUGAUCAGCGUGCAUUACAAACCUGCUCCGUCAGGAGUGGGGAACCCAAUGAACCUUCUUCGUGAUUGGGAUAGGGGAUUGUAAUUAUUCCCCUUGAACGAGGAAUUCCCAGUAAGCGCGAGUCAUAAGCUCGCGUUGAUUACGUCCCUGCCCUUUGUACACACCGCCCGUCGCUACUACCGAUUGAAUGAUUUAGUGAGGUCUUCGGACUGGCCGGCGCAGCUGUCUUCGGGCGGCCGCGCUGUGUUUGGAAGAUGCCCAUACUUGAUCAUUU